This is a non-coding RNA of Pelobates cultripes (western spadefoot toad), 96 nucleotides long. The record is from the annotation of a GenBank genome assembly. Lineage: Eukaryota; Metazoa; Chordata; Amphibia; Anura; Pelobatidae.
UUAUAAUAUAUUUAUGCAAAAAGGAGAAAAUCUGUCCUAUAUAUAAAUAUGUAAAUAUAGGACAGAUUUUCUCCUUUUUGCAUAAACAUUUACCAC